UUUCCUUAAAUAUACCAUUAUCACAAAAUAGACAUAAGAUGGUGACAAAAUGACAACAAAUAUACCAUUUUACAUCUAAUUAUAUUCUUUAAAAAAUGAGAAACCAGUAAGAUUAAUCACAAUAGGAAUUCUCAUUGAAGAUCAGACACAAGUUAAAGGUCCAAAAGCCAAACAUACAUGCCAGACAACAACUACUGAGAAUAAAAAGUUUCAGACACUUGAAAUGACAUGAUAAACAAUGACCUCAAGAAUCCAUAACAAAUGCCAGAUUCACCCACAAGAUUAAUUCCCUUCACCUAAUCUACUUAAACAAGCUCCCUACUAUUUCUUCUUGAUGUUAUAACUUUCCGAUUUCUCGAAAUUCCCUCCACCCGCCGCCUGUGCUGCUUUCCUUGCCGCCUUUUCUUGAAGUGCCUUUGCAUCCCUGUUGAGAUAUUAAACACAACAUCCGUGUUAGGAACACAAGCUAAUCGCCCUAAAACACGAGACUUUUGGAGAAAAUUGGCGAAGGAGGAACCUUUCUCGUCUUUGUUCAGGAGUUAAUCCAUCAUUCUUAGGUUGCUUGGUCUUGUGAUUUUCCCUGGCUUGAGCCCUUUCACGAUAUCUAUCUCUCUGGUUCCCGCGUUAGCUUAAGUUAAGGUCAAAACAGGUAGGGAUCGAAUUAAAGUAUGGCAACAUCUAACCAAAGAGAAGGAAAAAAAAACUAAUCUUUGGACCCCAUAGCUGAAGGUAAGAUCACGAGCUUAUGAAGAAUGAAAAUUUAAACUUGACGAAUCCAACCUUUAAAGUUCUUAGCACUGAAUUCAUUGUAUUUUUUUAAUUAUGAAUUCAAAAUUUAAUAUUCAUUGAUAUUUUAAUAACUUUUCACAUAUAUAUUCCCCGUAGAAAAUAGUGGUUCACUUGAACUCACUUUAUAUAGGCUGCAUUCGCCUCUUAUCUGAAGUAUUAUCAAUAUGAGAGAUCACAAUUGAAAGGGCUCAAAUUAAAUCCCCCGACCCCACCUGAUUUCUUAGCAACCAGACGAAUGGAGAAAGAAUCUUGUUUAUCGUUUGACAAAAAUAUGCAUGAAUGUCAGAAAGAUCAUGUUAUGAAAGAAUGGUUAAUUAAAUAGUACGAGAUAUUAUACUUUUAACAAAGGCUCUAUUUUUAGAUUCUUCCCCCAAUUUCUAGGCAACCAACCAAAAGGAUCAAAUGAGCUUGUACAUGAAUAAGCACCAAUAGAAAAAAUAAGAGCUUACCCCAGAAAAAGUUCUAUCUUGAGAUAAUAGUAAGGUUGCGCACGCACUAUCCUCCUCGUACCCCUUAUGGGAUUACACGGGGUUUGUUAUUGUUGUACUCUUACCCGGCGGCGGAGGCAGAAUUUUUGCUAAGGGGUUCAAAAUAGAAAAGUUAAAAAAUUAAAAAAGAAUGUGGCCAGAAUUGAACCAAGGAUCUCUUACAAAGGUUUUGAACCCGAGCUAUGCUUUUGGACAAUAUGAAGGAGAUUCAAAAUAAAAUAUAUAAAGUCAUAAAAUAGAUUUUGCCUUAUAUGUAAAGUGUAAUUUUUCGACGGCAGUAUCAGAGUAAAUCACUUUCCGCCCUCCUAAAUCCGCCCUUACCCAAUUUUAGGCAAACAACCCAAAAUAACUAAAAUCUAAGCGACCAAACAAAUGAAAAAAGAAAGAACCUUGUUUAUGAAAAGGGAAAGAAAAAACCGAUGAAGAUUAGCAUGAAGAAAAUCAGAGAAAAGAAACAUAUCAGAAGGAUAUGAGACAUUCCCAAUUCUCCAACAGCCAAACAAAAUUAGAUGGAUAAAUAGCUCUAGACAAGAUCCUGGAACCAAAACACAAACCAAAAAAAAAAAAAAAGGAGGAAAUUUUAGAAGAAAAGAAAACCAUCACCGAAUUACACCCUAACAGAACCGAACGAAAUUGACAGAUGAGAAAUAAUAAUUCGUGUAAAAGAAAUUGGGGUUUAUCUGAUUGAGCUUGGAUUAGAAGUUGUUUGCUUAAGAUCGACCUUGAAAUUUGAGAACAAACUUCAAAGCAGCAGAAUGAUAUUGAGAAGUUGGGUUAUUUGGAAAUGCCAGGGUUUAGGGAAGUAGGUGAUUUAUAGUGUAAGAUCAGAAGCAUCGAGAAGUCACGGUUUCUCUUUUUCCUCUUCACGUUUUAUUCCACUGAGCGUAUAAAAUGUGAGGUUAGACAAAAUUUUAGCUUUAGAAACUUCUGCGAGUAAUUUGUUUCCGAAGAUACAAAUGAAAGGGAAAGUUGCAUAAUUGGAUGUUUUGUAUUGAUGAAAAAUAAAUUUAUCAUUUGGACAAAUUGAAUCUCGAUAUGUAUCAAGAAUAUUAAGUGAAAAUAGCAUGACCUAGUUACUUUUUGGAUCGGUAACCAAAAAAUAAUCAGCAUUUGCAAA
RNAcentral lists this long non-coding RNA (2394 nucleotides) under Nicotiana tabacum (common tobacco). RNAcentral describes it as "long non-coding RNA (NTAB_LNC003413)". The record is from RNAcentral. Lineage: Eukaryota; Viridiplantae; Streptophyta; Magnoliopsida; Solanales; Solanaceae.